AGCUAUGGAACCCAAGAGCAGCACGGUAAACCUCCUUCCUAUGGUAUGCAUCCACAGGCUUUGCAUUCGCAACCUUAUAACCACUCCAGGGCUAAUCAACCUGGAGAAGUGCCAUAUCAGGGUCCUGUUCCAUCUACUCAAGGGUAUGGUGCUAGUAUGCCACAUCAGCAGCAAUACCCCUAUGCAUCCAGUGGGCAAGUGCAACAAACUUACCCUGCAUAUGGGUCUGCCACAGCUGCCGACGGAUAUAAUCAUCCACAAGGUGCUCCAGCUUCUGGUCCUGGGUAUCCUCAGCAAAGUGCCCAGCCUGUUCCUGGAUAUGGUCAGCCUGCGCCACAACAAUCUCUUGCUUAUGCUCAAGCAGCCCCUGUUGGAGGUUACAGUUCCUACCCUGCACAGCCCACUUACACUGAACAGCAGGCCACAAACACUGCAGGCUAUGGUUAUCAGGUACCAGUUGACCAAACAUACAGUGGUGCUCAGGCUUCAACGACUUAUAGUGCACCAUUUACUGGACAGCAAGCUUAUGCUCAACCAGCUCCAGCUUCAGCCCCAGCUCAGCCUGGUUAUGAUCAAUCCAUGACUCAACCUGGUGGUGGUUAUGCACCGGUACCUGCUGCUGCAGGUUAUGUUAAGAGUGUCUCACCUCAGCCUGGUUAUGCUCAGUAUGAUGCUACUAAUCAGAUGUAUGGUGCUCCCAGGUGAAACUUUCUUGUUAUAUGAUGAAAUUGUUUAAAGUGUUCCAAUGUUCAGAUUCGC
RNAcentral lists this long non-coding RNA (759 nucleotides) under Capsicum annuum. Its description in RNAcentral is "long non-coding RNA (CANN_LNC017475)". Lineage: Eukaryota; Viridiplantae; Streptophyta; Magnoliopsida; Solanales; Solanaceae. The record is from RNAcentral.